UGGGGAAUAUUGGACAAUGGGCGAAAGCCUGAUCCAGCCAUGCCGCGUGUGUGAAGAAGGUCUUCGGAUUGUAAAGCACUUUAAGUUGGGAGGAAGGGCAUUAACCUAAUACGUUAGUGUUUUGACGUUACCGACAGAAUAAGCACCGGCUAACUCUGUGCCAGCAGCCGCGGUAAUACAGAGGGUGCAAGCGUUAAUAGGAAUUACUGGGCGUAAAGCGCGCGUAGGUGGUUUUUUAAGUUUGAUGUGAAAUCCCCGGGCUCAACCUGGGAACUGCAUUCAAAACUGACUGACUAGAGUAUGGUAGAGGGUGGUGGAAUUUCCUGUGUAGCGGUGAAAUGCGUAGAUAUAGGAAGGAACACCAGUGGCGAAGGCGACCACCUGGACUAAUACUGACACUGAGGUGCGAAAGCGUGGGGAGCAAACA
Molecule: ribosomal RNA, 427 nt
Filed under: uncultured bacterium
Lineage: Bacteria
Description: partial 16S ribosomal RNA
Rfam family: Bacterial small subunit ribosomal RNA
Source: RNAcentral